AGGACGAACGCUGGCGGCGUGCUUAACACAUGCAAGUCGAGCGAGGCCCUUCCUUCGGGAAGGUGCCCUAGCGGCGAACGGGUGAGUAACACGUGAGCAACCUGCCCCUGGCUCUGGGAUAGCCUCCGGAAACGGGGAUUAAUACCGGACAUUCACUGCCUGCCGCAUGGUGGGUGGUGGAAAGUUUUUCGGCCAGGGAGGGGCUCGCGGUCUAUCAGCUUGUUGGCGGGGUAACGGCCCACCAAGGCGACGACGGAUA
Molecule: ribosomal RNA, 259 nt
Filed under: uncultured bacterium
Lineage: Bacteria
Description: partial small subunit ribosomal RNA
Rfam family: Bacterial small subunit ribosomal RNA
Source: RNAcentral